RNAcentral lists this transfer RNA (88 nucleotides) under Bacteroidota bacterium. Its description in RNAcentral is "Bacteroidetes bacterium tRNA-Ser". It matches the Rfam family "tRNA". From Rfam's summary of the family: Transfer RNA (tRNA) molecules are approximately 80 nucleotides in length. Their secondary structure includes four short double-helical elements and three loops (D, anti-codon, and T loops). The record is from RNAcentral. RNAcentral also lists the same sequence under 3 other names. Lineage: Bacteria; Pseudomonadati; Bacteroidota.
GGAGGGGUGCCAGAGUGGCCGAUUGGGGCGGUCUCGAAAACCGUUGUGGGCUUUUGGUCCACCGUGGGUUCGAAUCCCACCCCCUCCG